Molecule: long non-coding RNA, 381 nt
Filed under: Manihot esculenta (cassava)
Lineage: Eukaryota; Viridiplantae; Streptophyta; Magnoliopsida; Malpighiales; Euphorbiaceae
Description: long non-coding RNA (MESC_LNC009798)
Source: RNAcentral
AGAGACGAAACUCAAGCACCUUCGGCGGCACCUUCGGCGGCCGAAUCCCCCAAACAGAGCCGAACAUGCAAAAACACUCGGGGGCAAGCUGUGGCAACCAUGUCACCAUGCAGGAGGUUCGGCGGCCGAAUGAACUUUCGGCUGCCGAACCUGAGUUCAUCCAGAACUCAGUUUCAAUGGCAAACCAUCUCCCUCUUUCCUUCAACUUCUCAAACCAUGCAAACUUCACUUCCUCAACAUACAUAUACUCAUGUAUAUGAUCACAGGGGUCCAAAACUAGCUAAUAACCCCAAACAACAAAACAAACAUACAUAUAAACAUGUAACCAUGCAUAAUUCUUUAAAACUACCAUUAAUACCCUAAGCAUGCAUCUCCUUCCUU